RNAcentral lists this ribosomal RNA (351 nucleotides) under uncultured bacterium. RNAcentral describes it as "bacterial SSU rRNA". It matches the Rfam family "Bacterial small subunit ribosomal RNA", at positions 29 to 407 of the family's 1533-position model. The record is from RNAcentral.
AACGAACGCUGGCGGCAGGCCUAACACAUGCAAGUCGAACGCCCGUAGCAAUACGGGAGUGGCAGACGGGUGAGUAACGCGUGGGAACGUGCCCUUCGGUUCGGAAUAACUCAGGGAAACUUGAGCUAAUACCGGAUACGUCCGUAAGGAGAAAGAUUUAUCGCCGAAGGAUCGGCCCGCGUCGGAUUAGCUAGUUGGUGAGGUAACGGCCCACAAGGCGACGAUCCGUAGCUGGUCUGAGAGGAGAUCAGCCACACUGGGACUGAGACACGGCCCAGACUCCUACGGGAGGCAGCAGUGGGGAAUAUUGGACAAUGGGCGAAAGCCUGAUCCAGCCAUGCCGCGUGAGUG